This 211-nucleotide unclassified non-coding RNA is filed under the name uncultured Galerina. RNAcentral's name for it is "sequence contains ITS2". The record is from RNAcentral. Lineage: Eukaryota; Fungi; Basidiomycota; Agaricomycetes; Agaricales; Cortinariaceae.
AAUUCUCAACCUUACCAGCAUUUGUUGGUAUUGGCUUGGAUAUGGGGGUCUUUUGCUGGCUUUGUGAAGAGGUCUGCUCCCCUUAAAUGUAUUAGCCGGUGCCCCGCGUGGAUCCCGUCUAUUGGUGUGAUAAUUAUCUACGCCGUGGAUGGUCUGCUUUAAAUGGGAUGCGCUGCUUCUAACCGUCCGUUCAGUUGGACAAUCAAUGACA